GACGAACGCUGGCGGCGCGCUUAACACAUGCAAGUCGAGCGAGAACCAGGGCUUCGGUCCUGGGGACAGCGGCGAACGGGUGAGUAACACGUGGGUAAUCUGCCCUCGGUACUGGGAUAGCCCGGGGAAACCCGGAUUAAUACCGGAUGGCCCUUCGAGUUUUCGGACCCGAAGGAAAAGGUAGCUUCGGCCUCCGACCGAGGAUGAGCCCGCGGCGGAUUAGCUUGUUGGUGGGGUAACGGCCUACCAAGGCGACGAUCCGUAGCUGGUCUGAGAGGACGAUCAGCCACACUGGGACUGAGACACGGCCCAGACUCCUACGGGAGGCAGCAGUGGGGAAUCUUGCCCAAUGGGCGAAAGCCUGAGGCAGCGACGCCGCGUGCGGGAAGAAGGCCUUCGGGUUGUAAACCGCUUUCAGGAGGGACGAAGCCACUCGGGUGAAUAGCCCAGAGGGUGACGGUACCUCCAGAAGAAGCCCCGG
RNAcentral lists this ribosomal RNA (481 nucleotides) under uncultured bacterium. Its description in RNAcentral is "bacterial SSU rRNA". It matches the Rfam family "Bacterial small subunit ribosomal RNA", at positions 28 to 496 of the family's 1533-position model. The record is from RNAcentral.